RNAcentral lists this transfer RNA (76 nucleotides) under Lysobacterales bacterium. RNAcentral describes it as "tRNA-Lys". It matches the Rfam family "tRNA". From Rfam's summary of the family: Transfer RNA (tRNA) molecules are approximately 80 nucleotides in length. Their secondary structure includes four short double-helical elements and three loops (D, anti-codon, and T loops). RNAcentral also lists the same sequence under 1 other name. Lineage: Bacteria; Pseudomonadati; Pseudomonadota; Gammaproteobacteria; Lysobacterales. The record is from RNAcentral.
GGGUCGUUAGCUCAGUUGGUAGAGCAGCGGACUUUUAAUCCGUAGGUCGAAGGUUCGAAUCCUUCACGACCCACCA